AUUGAACGCUGGCGGCAGGCUUAACACAUGCAAGUCGAGCGGGGUGAUGGUGCUUGCACUAUCACUUAGCGGCGGACGGGUGAGUAAUGCUUAGGAAUCUGCCUAUUAGUGGGGGACAACAUCUCGAAAGGGAUGCUAAUACCGCAUACGUCCUACGGGAGAAAGCAGGGGAUCACUUGUGACCUUGCGCUAAUAGAUGAGCCUAAGUCGGAUUAGCUAGUUGGUGGGGUAAAGGCCUACCAAGGCGACGAUCUGUAGCGGGUCUGAGAGGAUGAUCCGCCACACUGGGACUGAGACACGGCCCAGACUCCUACGGGAGGCAGCAGUGGGGAAUAUUGGACAAUGGGGGGAGCCCUGAUCCAGCCAUGCCGCGGGUGUGAAGAAGGCCUUAUGGUUGUAAAGCACUUUAAGCGAGGAGGAGGCUCUUAUGGUUAAUACCCAAGAUGAGCGGACGUUACUCGCAGAAUAAGCACCGGCUAACUCUGUGCCAGCAGCCGCGGUAA
Molecule: ribosomal RNA, 503 nt
Filed under: uncultured bacterium
Lineage: Bacteria
Description: partial 16S ribosomal RNA
Rfam family: Bacterial small subunit ribosomal RNA
Source: RNAcentral